Molecule: ribosomal RNA, 459 nt
Filed under: uncultured bacterium
Lineage: Bacteria
Description: bacterial SSU rRNA
Rfam family: Bacterial small subunit ribosomal RNA
Source: RNAcentral
CCUACGGGAGGCAGCAGUGGGGAAUAUUGCACAAUGGGCGAAAGCCUGAUGCAGCCAUGCCGCGUGUGUGAAGAAGGCUCUAGGGUUGUAAAGCACUUUCAGCGAGGAGGAAAGGGUGUAGGUUAAUACCCUGCAUCUGUGACGUUACUCGCAGAAGAAGCACCGGCUAACUCCGUGCCAGCAGCCGCGGUAUACGGAGGGUGCAAGCGUUAAUCGGAAUUACUGGGCGUAAAGCGUGCGUAGGCGGCUUGUUAAGUUGGAUGUGAAAGCCCCGGGCUCAACCUGGGAACUGCACCCAAAACUGGCAAGCUAGAGUGCGGAAGAGGAGUGUGGAAUUUCCUGUGUAGCGGUGAAAUGCGUAGAUAUAGGAAGGAACACCAGUGGCGAAGGCGACACUCUGGUCUGACACUGACGCUGAGGUACGAAAGCGUGGGGAGCAAACAGGAUUAGAUACCCUGG